GCCGGGUUGAUGGAAUUAGGCAGACAUGAUGGAUUCAAAAUCCAUUGUCCGAGAGGACGUGUGGGUUCGAGUCCCACACCCGGCA
This 85-nucleotide transfer RNA is filed under the name Propionibacteriales bacterium. It matches the Rfam family "tRNA". From Rfam's summary of the family: Transfer RNA (tRNA) molecules are approximately 80 nucleotides in length. Lineage: Bacteria; Bacillati; Actinomycetota; Actinomycetes; Propionibacteriales. The record is from Rfam by way of RNAcentral.